AAAAAGGCAAACCCUAGAUUUCCGUGUCCAACUUUGACUGUCCGUCUUAUAUGAAAUUUUUUUGUAAUUUAUAUUUUCAUUGUUGUUAGAUGAUAAAACAUGAUUAAUAUUUUAUGCGUGACUUGUCUUUUAAUUUUUUUCAUAAUUAUUUGAAAUAAGACAGAUGGUCAAAUGUUGGGCACGGAAACCAGGGUUUGUCUUUUU
Molecule: microRNA precursor, 204 nt
Filed under: Oryza rufipogon (brownbeard rice)
Lineage: Eukaryota; Viridiplantae; Streptophyta; Magnoliopsida; Poales; Poaceae
Description: MIR812 microRNA precursor family
Rfam family: MIR812 microRNA precursor family
Source: Rfam by way of RNAcentral